RNAcentral lists this long non-coding RNA (464 nucleotides) under Musa acuminata (dwarf banana). RNAcentral describes it as "long non-coding RNA (MACU_LNC010941)". The record is from RNAcentral. Lineage: Eukaryota; Viridiplantae; Streptophyta; Magnoliopsida; Zingiberales; Musaceae.
GAUCCCGGAAUUCCGGGAUUUGAUCGUUUUGAGCUCCAAAUUUGAACUGGGUUGGGGCUUAUAAAUACCCCACCCAUUCAGCACUGAAAAGAUACAGACCUACACCGAAUUCUUGAUCUUUUCUGUGAUUCUAAGAGCUCAAAUUUGUGUAAAGUCCAAAAGUUCUCCUCUUUCUGUUCUUGAAGUCUUGAGUUGUAAAGAGAGGAGAGAAAGGUUCUGUAAGGGUUGUCUCCUGAGCCCGUCAAAAGGAGUGAAACUGUAAAAGGGUAGUUGGCCUUCGCCUAUUGAAGGAAGGCCUCUAGUUGACGUCGGUAACCUCGUCGGUGGAGGAAGCCAAAAGUGGAGUAGGUCAAGACUGACCGAACCACUCUAAAUCUCUGGUUUGCUUUUAUUUUGAGCACUUUAUCAUUACUGCAAACCUCCUACAUAACUACUGCUCUCUGCGCUUUUACGAAAAAGUUUCU